This 84-nucleotide transfer RNA is filed under the name Podarcis lilfordi (Lilford's wall lizard). RNAcentral's name for it is "tRNA.Lys". Lineage: Eukaryota; Metazoa; Chordata; Lepidosauria; Squamata; Lacertidae. The record is from RNAcentral.
GGAAGGAUUGUUCAGUCAGCAAAGUAUGGGACUCUUAAUCUCAAGGUUGUGGGUUUGAGCCCCACAUUGGGCAAAAAGAUUCCU